UGCCUGAUGGAGGGGGAUAACUACUGGAAACGGUAGCUAAUACCGCAUAACGUCGCAAGACCAAAGAGGGGGACCUUCGGGCCUCUUGCCAUCGGAUGUGCCCAGAUGGGAUUAGCUAGUAGGUGGGGUAACGGCUCACCUAGGCGACGAUCCCUAGCUGGUCUGAGAGGAUGACCAGCCACACUGGAACUGAGACACGGUCCAGACUCCUACGGGAGGCAGCAGUGGGGAAUAUUGCACAAUGGGCGCAAGCCUGAUGCAGCCAUGCCGCGUGUAUGAAGAAGGCCUUCGGGUUGUAAAGUACUUUCAGCGGGGAGGAA
RNAcentral lists this ribosomal RNA (320 nucleotides) under Escherichia coli. Its description in RNAcentral is "bacterial SSU rRNA". It matches the Rfam family "Bacterial small subunit ribosomal RNA", at positions 127 to 449 of the family's 1533-position model. The record is from RNAcentral. Lineage: Bacteria; Pseudomonadati; Pseudomonadota; Gammaproteobacteria; Enterobacterales; Enterobacteriaceae.